GCAGACAAAGACCCACAGCCCAGCUCCCUAGCUGGCCAGGUGAGGCUUAUUAGCCCUGGGAGGUUUGUGAUUCCUCAGAUGGAAUAGGAUUGGUAUAGGUGAGGGUCACAUGCUUCUUCAAGCCCAGAUGCUGCAAUCAACAUGUAAAGUACAAAAGGGAGCUGAUGUGAGGUGUCUUCUCAACUGCCCAUGUUGACAAACCUCAGCUGGGAUGCUGCACGACCUUGGACACAGGGAUUGACCCUGCUGCCAGAAUCACCAAUGAAGACUUAUGAACUUCACCAGGAGACACAUUUACUGGCAAGAAAACUGAAAGGAAAAAAGAGUGUGCAGAUGUGCUUUAAAGGAUUAAGCAGUACCCAUCUUUUCUGAGUUUGAGCAAUAAUCUGCAAAGAGACUUCUGUACUGUAAUGACUUGGGAAGUGUUUUCACCAUCCAUCAUUUGCCUUCUAGAAUGUCCCACUGUUCUGCUCUCAGCAAGAAAUGACAUAAGUCAUACUGAAUUCAAGGGAGCUUAUUCCCAGGUAAGUGGGG
This is a long non-coding RNA of Lacerta agilis (Sand lizard), 534 nucleotides long. RefSeq lists it as uncharacterized. The record is from RefSeq and is a predicted model, not a curated record. NCBI's taxonomy places the organism in Eukaryota, Metazoa, Chordata, Lepidosauria, Squamata, Lacertidae. The transcript is spliced from 4 exons.